RNAcentral lists this unclassified non-coding RNA (203 nucleotides) under Hevea brasiliensis (rubber tree). Lineage: Eukaryota; Viridiplantae; Streptophyta; Magnoliopsida; Malpighiales; Euphorbiaceae. The record is from RNAcentral.
GCCACCUAUUGCUCUUGCACCUUUACGGCAGGAAGGAAUCAGACCAUGCAAUGUUUCUGAUGUACUGGUGGAUUUGGUGGAAGCAGUGGCACCUUUGGCACACGAGCAGAGGAGAGCUGUUUUACUUUCUGAGGUUCCAAGAUCUUUACAGGUACCAAUUGAAGAGCCUGCUUUACGCCAGGCUUUGGGUAAUUUGAUCGAGG